UACGUAGGGGGCAAGCGUUGUCCGGAUUUAUUGGGCGUAAAGAGCGUGUAGGCGGCCAUGCAGGUCCGUUGUGAAAACUCGAGGCUUAACCUCGAGACGCCGGUGGAAACCGUGUGGCUAGAGUCCGGAAGAGGAGAGUGGAAUUCCUGGUGUAGCGGUGAAAUGCGCAGAUAUCAGGAAGAACACCCGUGGCGAAGGCGGCUCUCUGGGACGUGACUGACGCUGAGACGCGAAAGCGUGGGGAGCAAACAGG
Molecule: ribosomal RNA, 253 nt
Filed under: uncultured bacterium
Lineage: Bacteria
Description: partial 16S ribosomal RNA
Rfam family: Bacterial small subunit ribosomal RNA
Source: RNAcentral